Long non-coding RNA from Bos taurus (domestic cattle), 1072 nucleotides. The record is from Ensembl. NCBI's taxonomy places the organism in Eukaryota, Metazoa, Chordata, Mammalia, Artiodactyla, Bovidae.
AUCCCAAUUGUCUGGAACAUACGCUUAGUCUGAGCUUGGUCCGCAGGGCUGACCAAUGUGAUCGACUUAGUUGCUUAGUCAAGACCGAUUCUCUGCAACCCCAUGGACUGUAGGCCACCAGCCUCCUCUGCAUCAAAUUCUCCAGGCAAGAAUACUAGAGUGGGUAGCCAUGCCCUCCUCCAGAAGACCUUCCUGACCCAUGUCUCCUGUACUGCAGGCAGAUUCUUUACCAUCUGAACCACCAGGGAAGCCCUUCACACUAACCAGGGAGGUGAACACAGCCCUUUCUCUGCUAGAUCUCCAGCCCAGAGAUCUCCAUCCUCUUCCACAGACUGCAUUUGACACCUCACCCUUGUAGCAAAUGAGAGAGACCCAGAAUCAGAAAAUGCAGAGAAGCUUCAUAAAAGGCAAACAGAAUGGAACCUCCCCAAACUCCUGCCAUCAUCUAGGAGUUAACAGUCCCUUGACCACAGGGCACCACUUUCCGUGUGUCCUGCUUUCUUCCUCAUAUCAGAGUAAGAUAAUGUCUAUGAAAGUGCCAUCACUUUAUGGCAAACAGAAGUGGGAAAUGUGGAAGCACUGACAGAUUUUAUUUUCUUGUCCUCCAAAAUCAUGGUGGACAGUGACUGUAGCCAUGAAAUUAAAAGACGCUUGCUCCUUAGAAGGAAAGCUAUGACAAACCUAGACAGCAUAUUAAAAAGCAGAGAUAUCACUUUGCUGACAAAGAUCCAUGUAGUCAAAGCUGUGGUUUUUCCAGUAGUCAUGUACAGAUGUGAGAGUUAGACCAUAAAGAAGGCUGCGCGCCAAAGAAUUGAUGCUUUUGAACUGUGGUGUUGGAGAAGACUCUUGAGAGUCCCUUGGACUGUAAGGAGAUCAAACCAGUCAAUCCUAAGGGAAAUCAAUCUUGAAUGUUCACUGGAAGGAUUGAUGCUGAAGCUGAAGCUCCAAUAAUUUGGCCACCUGAUGCAAAGAGUCAACUCAUUGGAAAAAGACCCUGAUAGUGGCAAAGAUUGAAGGCAAAGGGAAAAGGGGGCGGCAGAGGAUGAGAUGGUUAGAUAGCAUCACUGACUCA